This 697-nucleotide ribosomal RNA is filed under the name Herpotrichiellaceae sp. A1033. RNAcentral describes it as "SSU rRNA". It matches the Rfam family "Eukaryotic small subunit ribosomal RNA", at positions 48 to 756 of the family's 1831-position model. Lineage: Eukaryota; Fungi; Ascomycota; Eurotiomycetes; Chaetothyriales; Herpotrichiellaceae. The record is from RNAcentral.
GCCAUGCAUGUCUAAGUAUAAGCAAUCAUACUGUGAAACUGCGAAUGGCUCAUUAAAUCAGUUAUCGUUUAUUUGAUAGUACCUUUACCUGGAUAACCGUGGUAAUUCUAGAGCUAAUACAUGCUAAAAACCCCGACUUCGGGAGGGGUGUAUUUAUUAGAUAAAAAACCAAUGCCCUCUGGGCUCCUUGGUGAUUCAUAAUAACUUAACGAAUCGCAUGGCCUUGCGCCGGCGAUGGUUCAUUCAAAUUUCUGCCCUAUCAACUUUCGAUUGUAAGAUAGAGGCUUACAAUGGUCUUAACGGGUAACGGGGAAUUAGGGUUCUAUUCCGGAGAGGGAGCCUGAGAAACGGCUACCACAUCCAAGGAAGGCAGCAGGCGCGCAAAUUACCCAAUGCUAAUUCAGCGAGGUAGUGACAAUAAAUACUGAUACGGGGCUCUUUCGGGUCUCGUAAUUGGAAUGAGUACAAUCUAAAUCCCUUAACGAGGAACAAUUGGAGGGCAAGUCUGGUGCCAGCAGCCGCGGUAAUUCCAGCUCCAAUAGCGUAUAUUAAAGUUGUUGCCGUUAAAAAGCUCGUAGUUGAACCUUGGACCUGGCUGAUCUGUCCUCCUAAUCGAGCGCACGGAUUCGGUCGGGUCUUUCCUUCUGGGGAGCCCUAUGCCCUUCACUGGGUGUAGUGGGGAACCAGGACUUUUACC